Ailuropoda melanoleuca (giant panda) is the source of this 137-nucleotide small nuclear RNA. Its record names the gene U2. It matches the Rfam family "U2 spliceosomal RNA". Rfam says of the family: U2 is a small nuclear RNA (snRNA) component of the spliceosome (involved in pre-mRNA splicing). Complementary binding between U2 snRNA (in an area lying towards the 5' end but 3' to hairpin I) and the branchpoint sequence (BPS) of the intron results the bulging out of an unpaired adenosine, on the BPS, which initiates a nucleophilic attack at the intronic 5' splice site, thus starting the first of two transesterification reactions that mediate splicing. NCBI's taxonomy places the organism in Eukaryota, Metazoa, Chordata, Mammalia, Carnivora, Ursidae. The record is from Ensembl.
AUAACUUCUUGGCCUUUUGGCUAAGAUCAAGUGUAAUAUUAUGUUUGCUUUUUUUUUUAAGAUUUUAUUUAUUUUUGAGAGAGAGAGAACACAAGCGGGCAGGCGGGGAGGGGGGCAGAGGGAGAAGCAGACUCCCU